RNAcentral lists this transfer RNA (74 nucleotides) under Hofstenia miamia. RNAcentral describes it as "tRNA-Asn for anticodon GUU". It matches the Rfam family "tRNA". From Rfam's summary of the family: Transfer RNA (tRNA) molecules are approximately 80 nucleotides in length. Their secondary structure includes four short double-helical elements and three loops (D, anti-codon, and T loops). Further hydrogen bonds mediate the characteristic L-shaped molecular structure. tRNAs have two regions of fundamental functional importance: the anti-codon, which is responsible for specific mRNA codon recognition, and the 3' end, to which the tRNAs corresponding amino acid is attached (by aminoacyl-tRNA synthetases). tRNAs cope with the degeneracy of the genetic code in two manners: having more than one tRNA (with a specific anti-codon) for a particular amino acid; and 'wobble' base-pairing, i.e. permitting non-standard base-pairing at the 3rd anti-codon position. Lineage: Eukaryota; Metazoa; Xenacoelomorpha; Acoela; Hofsteniidae. The record is from RNAcentral.
GUCUCUUUGGCGCAAUCAGGUAGCGCGUUCGGCUGUUAACCGAAAGGUUCGUGAUUCGAGUCCACGCAGGGACG